GCUGGUGAUGCCGGUGAAUUAAUGGAGGUACCGAGGUAGAAAUAACUGCUGGUGCUGUAUCGUAUCGCUCCCCGAACACGGAAUAAUGGUCUGAAAAUGCUGCACACACUUUUUCCUCCUCGAUGAAGGUGUACUUAUCAAAAUCCACUGUGGAGAGAAUACCAUAUAACUGAAGGAGUACAAGGGCCCAGUCUGCGAAAUGCAAGUUUCUGUUUCAUGCAAAUGCUACAGAGCCUGGACAAGCUAAAGAUGCAUGGAAAAUGCUCACCAAGCUUUAACUGAAGAACUAAGUGUGGUGAGCCCAUAGAUGCUUGCCAACAAUUACAACAUUGAAAUGCAAAGAGAUAUUUUAUGUGACAAGUCGGAGAUCGGAUCUUCGGUGACUUCCCGCAGACAGCUUGCGAUAGCUGGUUCCGUGAAUCUUAAACGCCUCUCCGGGGAGUCGGCGCUCCGAGCCAGCGCAGUCACAUGACGUCAUAAGAAACGAA
This is a long non-coding RNA of Leguminivora glycinivorella, 488 nucleotides long. RefSeq lists it as uncharacterized. The transcript has 4 exons. The record is from RefSeq and is a predicted model, not a curated record. NCBI's taxonomy places the organism in Eukaryota, Metazoa, Arthropoda, Insecta, Lepidoptera, Tortricidae.